Molecule: ribosomal RNA, 250 nt
Filed under: uncultured Staphylococcus sp.
Lineage: Bacteria; Bacillati; Bacillota; Bacilli; Caryophanales; Staphylococcaceae
Description: partial 16S ribosomal RNA
Rfam family: Bacterial small subunit ribosomal RNA
Source: RNAcentral
UGUUAGCGGCGGACGGGUGAGUAACACGUGGAUAACCUACCUAUAAGACUGGGAUAACUUCGGGAAACCGGAGCUAAUACCGGAUAACAUUUGGAACCGCAUGGUUCUAAAGUGAAAGAUGGUUUUGCUAUCACUUAUAGAUGGACCCGCGCCGUAUUAGCUAGUUGGUAAGGUAACGGCUUACCAAGGCGACGAUACGUAGCCGACCUGAGAGGGUGAUCGGCCACACUGGAACUGAGACACGGUCCAG